UAUACGACCGUACCGCAAACCGACACUGGUGCGCGAGAUGAGUAUUCUAAGGCGCUUGAGAGAACUCAGGAGAAGGAACUCGGCAAAUUGACACCGUAACUUCGGAAGAAGGUGUGCCCUAUUAGUGUGUAGUGAACAACGAAGCAUGAAUGGGUUGCAAAAAAUCGGUGGCUGCGACUGUUUAUUAAAAACACAGCACUCUGCAAACACGAAAGUGGACGUAUAGGGUGUGACGCCUGCCCGGUGCUGGAAGAUUAAAUGAUGGGGUGCAAGCUCUUGAUUGAAGUCCCAGUAAACGGCGGCCGUAACAAUAACGGUCCUAAGGUAGCGAAAUUCCUUGUCGGGUAAGUUCCGACCUGCACGAAUGGCGUAACGAUGGCCACACUGUCUCCUCCUGAGACUCAGCGAAGUUGAAAUGUUUGUGAUGAUGCAAUCUCCCCGCGGAAAGACGGAAAGACCCCAUGAACCUUUACUGUAGCUUUGUAUUGGACUUUGAACAGAUCUGUGUAGGAUAGGUGGGAGGCUUUGAAGCAGGGUCGCUAGAUCUUGUGGAGCCAACGUUGAAAUACCACCCUGGUGUGUUUGAGGUUCUAACCUAGGUCCAUUAUCUGGAUCGGGGACAGUGCAUGGUAGGCAGUUUGACUGGGGCGGUCUCCUCCCAAAGCGUAACGGAGGAGUUCGAAGGUACGCUAGUUACGGUCGGACAUCGUGACGAUAGUGCAAUGGCAUAAGCGUGCUUAACUGCGAGACUGACAAGUCGAGCAGAUGCGAAAGCAGGACAUAGUGAUCCGGUGGUUCUGUAUGGAAGGGCCAUCGCUCAACGGAUAAAAGGUACUCUGGGGAUAACAGGCUGAUACCGCCCAAGAGUUCAUAUCGACGGCGGUGUUUGGCACCUCGAUGUCGGCUCAUCUCAUCCUGGGGCUGUAGCCGGUCCCAAGGGUAUGGCUGUUCGCCAUUUAAAGAGGUACGUGAGCUGGGUUUAAAACGUCGUGAGACAGUUUGGUCCCUAUCUUCCGUGGGCGCUGCAGAUUUGAGGAAGCCUGCUCCUAGUACGAGAGGACCGGAGUGGACACACCUCUGGUGUAUCGGUUGUCACGCCAGUGGCAUUGCCGAGUAGCUAAGUGUGGAAGAGAUAACCGCUGAAAGCAUCUAAGCGGGAAACUCGUUUCAAGAUGAGAUCUGCCGGGGCCUUGAGCCCCCUAAAGAGUCGUUCAAGACCAGGACGUUGAUAGGUCAGGUGUGGAAGUGAAA
This 1251-nucleotide ribosomal RNA is filed under the name metagenome. RNAcentral's name for it is "bacterial LSU rRNA". It matches the Rfam family "Bacterial large subunit ribosomal RNA", at positions 1635 to 2878 of the family's 2925-position model. The record is from RNAcentral.